CAGACAGCUACGCACGUAGACGCCCGACUUUCCCCCUUUUUGGACGCGGGUUCGAUUCCCGCCAUCUCCACCA
RNAcentral lists this transfer-messenger RNA (73 nucleotides) under bacterium. Its description in RNAcentral is "partial transfer-messenger RNA". It matches the Rfam family "transfer-messenger RNA", at positions 300 to 374 of the family's 374-position model. From Rfam's summary of the family: Bacterial tmRNA, also known as 10Sa RNA or SsrA, is named for its dual tRNA and mRNA-like properties. Its role is to liberate the mRNA from a stalled ribosome. To accomplish this part of the tmRNA is used as a reading frame that ends in a translation stop signal. The record is from RNAcentral.